Molecule: ribosomal RNA, 200 nt
Filed under: Clostridioides difficile
Lineage: Bacteria; Bacillati; Bacillota; Clostridia; Peptostreptococcales; Peptostreptococcaceae
Description: partial 23S ribosomal RNA
Rfam family: Bacterial large subunit ribosomal RNA
Source: RNAcentral
UUGAUAAUGCUGGGAUGUGAUGGGGAGCGAAAUUUAGUAGCGAAGUAGCUGAUUUCACACUGUCAAGAAAAGUCUCUAUCGAGGUUAAAGGUACCCGUACCGAAAACCGACACAGGUGGGUGAGGAGCGUAUCCUAAGGCCAGCGAGAGAACUGUUGUUAAGGAACUCGGCAAAAUGACCCCGUAACUUAGGGAUAAGGG